GUAAGGGUGGUCUGGCUACACUGUCACCCUGCUGACAGCCAAGGUUGAUUCAGCUGGCCUGGGUGGCUUAGGCAAGUGUUCCCUGCUUUCCCUAGUGUGAGUCCCUCCUGAAGUUACAUAAUUGGUCAAAGAGAAAACCUCUGUCAAGAGGUCCACUGUUAAGUCUGGGUUACUCAAGUGGCUGUCACCAGGCUGGAAGCUCCAAAUGAGUUCCCAAGUCCAUUUGUGGGAGAACACAAGUGGCCAAGACUCCAGACACAUCCAAGUAAGUUGCUUUAUAUAUCAGGCUGCCUUUCUAA
Molecule: non-coding RNA, 299 nt
Organism: Cricetulus griseus (Chinese hamster)
Lineage: Eukaryota; Metazoa; Chordata; Mammalia; Rodentia; Cricetidae
Source: Rfam